RNAcentral lists this transfer RNA (74 nucleotides) under Gammaproteobacteria bacterium. RNAcentral describes it as "tRNA-Gly". It matches the Rfam family "tRNA". Rfam says of the family: Transfer RNA (tRNA) molecules are approximately 80 nucleotides in length. Their secondary structure includes four short double-helical elements and three loops (D, anti-codon, and T loops). Lineage: Bacteria; Pseudomonadati; Pseudomonadota; Gammaproteobacteria. The record is from RNAcentral. RNAcentral also lists the same sequence under 1 other name.
GCGGGUAUAGUUCAGUGGUAGAACCUCAGCCUUCCAAGCUGAUGGCGCGGGUUCGAUCCCCGCUACCCGCUCCA